RNAcentral lists this ribosomal RNA (1437 nucleotides) under metagenome. RNAcentral describes it as "bacterial LSU rRNA". It matches the Rfam family "Bacterial large subunit ribosomal RNA", at positions 1472 to 2925 of the family's 2925-position model. The record is from RNAcentral.
UCACAGAAGGAUAGACAGAGCACGCCGUUGGUAGAGCGUGUCCAAGCAGUGAGGCUUGUGCGUAGGCAAAUCCGCGCACUAAAAGGCUAGGCUGUGAUGGGGAGGGAAAAAAGUACCGGAAGCUGUUGAUUUCACACUGUCAAGAAAAGCCGCUAGCGAGACCGUAGGUGCCCGUACCGCAAACCGACACAGGUAGAUGAGGAGAGAAUCCUAAGGUGAGCGAGAGAACUAUUGUUAAGGAACUCGGCAAAAUUACCCCGUAACUUCGGGAGAAGGGGUGCCAUCGAAAGAUGGCCGCAGUGAAAAGGCCCAGGCGACUGUUUAGCAAAAACACAGGUCUCUGCUAAAGCGAAAGCUGAAGUAUAGGGGCUGACGCCUGCCCGGUGCUGGAAGGUUAAGGGGACUGCUUAGAGCAAUCGAAGGCAUGAACUUAAGCCCCAGUAAACGGCGGCCGUAACAAUAACGGUCCUAAGGUAGCGAAAUUCCUUGUCAGGUAAGUUCUGACCCGCACGAAAGGCGUAACGAUCUGGGCGCUGUCUCAACAAUAGACUCGGUGAAAUUGUAGUACCGGUAAAGAUGCCGGUUACCCGCAGCAGGACGGAAAGACCCCGUGGAGCUUUACUGCAGCUUGAUAUUGGAUUUCGGCAUUGCAUGUACAGGAUAGGUGGGAGACUUUGAACUCAGUACGCCAGUAUUGAGGGAGUCACCGUUGGGAUACCACCCUUGUAAUGUUGAGGUUCUAACUUUGUACCGUGACCCGGUAUGAGGACAGUGUCUGGCGGGCAGUUUGACUGGGGCGGUCGCCUCCUAAAGAGUAACGGAGGCGCCCAAAGGUUCCCUCAGUGCGGACGGAAAUCGCACGAAGAGUGUAAAGGCAGAAGGGAGCUUGACUGCGAGACAAACAGGUCGAGCAGGGACGAAAGUCGGGCUUAGUGAUCCGGUGGUACCGAGUGGAAGGGCCAUCGCUCAACGGAUAAAAGCUACCCCGGGGAUAACAGGCUGAUACCCCCCAAGAGUCCACAUCGACGGGGGUGUUUGGCACCUCGAUGUCGGCUCGUCUCAUCCUGGGGCUGAAGUAGGUCCCAAGGGUUGGGCUGUUCGCCCAUUAAAGAGGUACGCGAGCUGGGUUCAGAACGUCGUGAGACAGUUCGGUCCCUAUCCGCUGUGGGCGUUGGAGAUUUGAGUGGAGCUGUUCUUAGUACGAGAGGACCGGGAUGGACAUACCUCUGGUGCACCAGUUGUUCUGCCAAGGGCAUAGCUGGGUAGCCACGUAUGGAAGGGAUAAGUGCUGAAAGCAUCUAAGUACGAAGCCCCCCACAAGACAAGAUCUCCUCCUUAAAGGUAAGACCCGUGAGAGACUAUCACGUUGAUAGGUCGGAGGUGGAAGUGCAGUAAUGCAUGGAGCUGACCGAUACUAAUAGGUCAAAAACUUGACCG